RNAcentral lists this ribosomal RNA (237 nucleotides) under uncultured bacterium. Its description in RNAcentral is "partial 16S ribosomal RNA". It matches the Rfam family "Bacterial small subunit ribosomal RNA", at positions 82 to 334 of the family's 1533-position model. The record is from RNAcentral.
AUCUUCGGAUCGAGUGGCGGACGGGUGAGUAACACGUUGGUACCUACCCCGAAGUGGGGAAUAACUGCCCGAAAGGGUGGCUAAUACCGCAUAAUACCGCAAGGUUAAAGCAGUAAUGCGCUUCGGGAGGGGCCUGCGUCCCAUUAGCUAGUUGGUAGUGUAAUAGACUACCAAGGCGACGAUGGGUAGUUGGAUCGAGAGGUUGACCAGCCACACUGGGACUGAGAUACGGCCCAG